Molecule: ribosomal RNA, 382 nt
Filed under: uncultured bacterium
Lineage: Bacteria
Description: bacterial SSU rRNA
Rfam family: Bacterial small subunit ribosomal RNA
Source: RNAcentral
AACGAACGCUGGCGGCGCGCCUAAUACAUGCAAGUCGAGCGAGAAGACGUAGCAAUACGUUUGUAAAGCGGCGAACGGGUGAGGAAUACAUGGGUAACCUACCCUCGAGUGGGGAAUAACUAGCCGAAAGGUUAGCUAAUACCGCGUACGCUCCUUGGACUUCGGUUCAGGGAGGAAAGCGAUACCGUGGGUAUCGCGCUCUUGGAUGGGCUCAUGUCCUAUCAGCUUGUUGGUGAGGUAACGGCUCACCAAGGCUUCGACGGGUAGCUGGUCUGAGAGGACGAUCAGCCACACUGGCACUGCGACACGGGCCAGACUCCUACGGGAGGCAGCAGUAAGGAAUAUUGCGCAAUGGGCGAAAGCCUGACGCAGCGACGCCGCG